UUCCGGUUGAUCCUGCCGGAGGCUACUGCUAUCGGGGUUCGAUUAAGCCAUGCGAGUUAAAUGUUCUUCGUGAACAUAGCGAACUGCUCAGUAACACGUGGAUAACCUACCCUUAGGACCGGAAUAACCCCGGGAAACUGGGGAUAAUACCGGAUAAGCCAUAGACGCUGGAAUGCCCUAUGGUUCACAGCUCCGGCGCCUAAGGAUGGAUCUGCGGUCUAUCAGGUUGUAGUGGGUGUAACGUACCUACUAGCCGACGACGGAUACGGGUUGUGAGAGCAAGAGCCCGGAGAUGGAUUCUGAGACACGAAUCCAGGCCCUACGGGGUGCAGCAGGCGCGAACACUUUACAAUGCGGGAAACCGCGAUAAGGGAACCCCGAGUGCCAGCAUCAAAUGUUGGCUGUCCAGAUGGUUAAAAAUCAUUUGUUAGCAAGGGCCGGGCAAGACCGGUGCCAGCCGCCGCGGUAACACCGGCGGCCCGAGUGGUAGCCGUUUUUAUUGGGUCUAAAGGGUCCGUAGCCGGCCUGAUAAGUCCUUUGGGAAAUCUGACAGCUUAACUGUCAGGCUUCUAAGGGAUACUGUCAGGCUUGGGACCGGAAGAGGUAAGGGGUACUCCAGGGGUAGGAGUGAAAUCUUGUAAUCCCUGGGGGACCAUCUGUGGCGAAGGCGCCUUACCAGAACGGGUCCGACGGUGAGGGACGAAAGCUAGGGGAGCAAACCGGAUUAGAUACCCGGGUAGUCCUAGCUGUAAACGAUGCUCGCUAGGUGUCAGACACGGUGCGACCGUGUUUGGUGCCGCAGGGAAGCCGUUAAGCGAGCCACCUGGGAAGUACGGUCGCAAGGCUGAAACUUAAAGGAAUUGGCGGGGGAGCACUACAACGGGUGGAGCCUGCGGUUUAAUUGGAUUCAACGCCGGG
This 918-nucleotide ribosomal RNA is filed under the name archaeon enrichment culture clone AOM-SR-A1. RNAcentral describes it as "bacterial SSU rRNA". It matches the Rfam family "Archaeal small subunit ribosomal RNA", at positions 1 to 922 of the family's 1478-position model. The record is from RNAcentral.